AGAUGGUUGGCCGAGUGGUCUAAGGCGCCAGAUUUAGGCUCUGGUCCGAAAGGGCGUGGGUUCAAAUCCCACAAUGUUUA
This 80-nucleotide transfer RNA is filed under the name Ipomoea nil (Japanese morning glory). It matches the Rfam family "tRNA". From Rfam's summary of the family: Transfer RNA (tRNA) molecules are approximately 80 nucleotides in length. Their secondary structure includes four short double-helical elements and three loops (D, anti-codon, and T loops). The record is from Rfam by way of RNAcentral. Lineage: Eukaryota; Viridiplantae; Streptophyta; Magnoliopsida; Solanales; Convolvulaceae.